This 255-nucleotide ribosomal RNA is filed under the name uncultured bacterium. Its description in RNAcentral is "partial small subunit ribosomal RNA". It matches the Rfam family "Bacterial small subunit ribosomal RNA", at positions 26 to 285 of the family's 1533-position model. The record is from RNAcentral.
AGGACGAACGCUGGCGGCGUGCUUAACACGUGCAAGUCGAGCGGAAAGGCCCUUCGGGGUACUCGAGCGGCGAACGGGUGAGUAACACGUGAGCAAUCUGCCCUUAGCUUCGGGAUAGCUCCGGGAAACCGGAAUUAAUACCGGAUAUGACUAUGGCUGACAUCAGCCACGGUGGAAAGUUUUUCGGCUAGGGAUGAGCUCGCGGCCUAUCAGCUAGUUGGUGGGGUAACGGCCUACCAAGGCGACGACGGGGUA